This 303-nucleotide long non-coding RNA is filed under the name Ovis aries (sheep). RNAcentral's name for it is "lncRNA (ENSOARG00000025684.1)". The record is from RNAcentral. Lineage: Eukaryota; Metazoa; Chordata; Mammalia; Artiodactyla; Bovidae.
AUGGGGGGUGCUUUUCUUUCUUCCUGCAGAAGAUAUCUGCGUACCAUUGAAAAAUUCUAUCCCAUAGAGAACCCGGUAUGCAGACCAGGUAGGAAAAACCACCCGCUGCAGACGCCCAGGCUGCUUCAGGCACAUUCCCAGGAAGACAGAGGGAAGGAAGAAACAGGAAGGUCAUGGAGGAGCGGCAGAAGACCAAAUUCGGCCAGUUCGCCACUUGAGACCUGCCAGUUUCUGGAUUUUAAUGGCCUUUUCUCCCAGGCAGAGGUGAAAGAAACCCGGGGAGCCUCCUGGAAAUCCCAUUGA